UCCUUGUUAGCUCAGUUGGUAGAGCGUUCGGCUUUUACGCAUGCUUGCAAGGCACCGAAAUGUCACGGGUUCGAGCCCCGUAUGAGGAG
Eremothecium cymbalariae DBVPG#7215 is the source of this 89-nucleotide transfer RNA. It matches the Rfam family "tRNA". From Rfam's summary of the family: Transfer RNA (tRNA) molecules are approximately 80 nucleotides in length. Their secondary structure includes four short double-helical elements and three loops (D, anti-codon, and T loops). NCBI's taxonomy places the organism in Eukaryota, Fungi, Ascomycota, Saccharomycetes, Saccharomycetales, Saccharomycetaceae. The record is from Rfam.